Molecule: long non-coding RNA, 3958 nt
Organism: Gallus gallus (chicken)
Lineage: Eukaryota; Metazoa; Chordata; Aves; Galliformes; Phasianidae
Source: Ensembl
CCCCUCCCCGUGCAUAUCUGCACACACGCUCCCAGGGAGCCCCGGCGGACAGACGCGAGAAAACAGAGGGGCCCCGAGCGCCUACGUGGAGCGCGCACACACUGAUGCCACGCUUUCCACGGUGGGAAGGAAAUGAAGCGCGCAGUGGCCAGAGCCCGGCGGAGAGCAACAGACCACUGGAGCAGGCUGCCCAGAUAGGUUGUGGAGUCUCCUACUUGGAGAUAUUCAAGACCCACCUGGACACCUUCCUUUGCAACCUAUGAACUAGUUUUCCACUCGUGAUGCUCAAAGUGGCAAAAAUAUUAUAGAAGAAAACUAUUGGAUUGUCAAGUUGUAUUAUAAAUACAAGACCUGGAUGCAAUGGACUCAUGCAUAAUCUUUCUGUGUAAGACAUUUGCCAUCUGCCUACCACUCCCAUCUUGAGUAGAGAAGGCUGCUGGAAGACACGAUACAGGCCUCAAAUAUGUCAAAGAUUCUUCAUCAAGGAAAGAAAAAAGCGUUUUUCUGCUUGCCAUGUGUAAGAUCAGAAAUGAUGAGCUGUAAUUGUUCAAGAGGCAUUUAAGUGCGAAAUUGGGAAAAAAUGUCUAAUGGUAAAUACUGCAGAAAGACAGAAACAAAUGACUAAGGAAGGUGUGCAGUGUCUGUAAUGAGAAAUUCUUUAGCAACGCUGAGAAACAUCUAUCAUGAAUAGGUUAUAAUCCUAUCCUGCCUUUUUAAGGGGAAAAGGAGAGCAAAUUAAAUGUUGUUCGAAGAUCUUUUUUCCAUUUUCCAUGAUUCUAUGAUUAUUUUUCUUUUAUCUGUGGCUCCUGCAAGACUUUUCCCCUGGUCACCUACCAACUCCCAUGGAGCCAGGCAGCCUGACCAGGACCAUGUUUCAGAUAACUGGAAGAACUCAGUGAUCGCAAACACAGCUGCCUUUUCUCCAGCUCUCCAUGUCCCUCCAGCCGGAAUUGCUCCAGAGGGAGAGUAGGUGCAGUGCAGCUUGGACAGGUAGCAGCCCACAUUUACUGAGGGACCUCUGUUUUUCCAGAGUCGUAGAGCAAAUCAUCACCAUUAAUCUGAGGUGUGUCCCUCUCACCUUCCCUGAUGGCAAAUCCUACAGGUGGAAGAGAUUAAUAAUAUGCAAAGCAGGAAUGGUCACAGAGUCAGAGUUCAGAAAGGUAAACUUUCCUCCAUCUCCAGCUUGCACACUUGACCACACAGCGCCUGAGCACACAGCUCAGGCCCCCCACCUGGAUUUGUUAUAAUCAUCAAGCAUAUGCAAAGCUCAGAACCAACCUACUCAUUUUCUGCAGCAUCCAGUAUAGGUUAUGUGAAAUAUUAAAAUAUGUAAUUGUAAAUGCAUGCCCUUUAUUGCGUUAUAACUAAGAAACCAGAUCUUUUCCCACUGACUUUCCAUGCAACUUUUCCCUGUUCUCAUAUCCCAUGUGGCUCUUAAGUGUGCAAAGGCACCAGUAUUAAAAUUUAUAAGAUAUUUAUAUAAAUCAGAUGGUUGGUAAGUAUUAAAUCUGAUUUUUCUCAAUAACCCGAGGGGGAAUAUUAAAAUAUUAAAAUUGUUUGAAUUUUUAAAACACAAAUGGGCUUUUGAAUAGUUUAGGCCCAAGCUUCAACUCUUGUACUCAAAUACAUUCUGGCUGAGUACAGAGUUCUUGAAGUUUUUGUCUUGUUACUCACAUCUAGUGAGACAAAUGGCAGACUUAGUAGAAAGUCUGUUCUGAAAAAUCAUAAACAGAUCCAUGUGGAAGAAUGAAUAUUAUCUUCUGUUUUCAUCCUGCGAUUUACAUGUUUGGAAGUAUAUAUCUCUUGUCUUAAAUAACUGAGGUCACAUUGUAAAACUUGCUGCCAGUGUUGCCUCAUGGCAUUACCAGUUUACGUACUAUCUUUGCUUCCACAUUUAAACAUCUUUGAUGUAAUUGUGAACAUGAAACCUUACAACAAUUUUCUGUUCAAGAAAUUUUAUUCUCAGUCUCUUAACACACUUUCUGGGAACUAAUUCUGGUUCCAUAUUGUGGACUCAAGAGUUAACAGCUGUGGGUAAGCAUAGCCAUGGCUCCCCAUUUUCUUUUUUAGUAGAUAAAUAACAUUUGCCUCGAGGAGGAUGUGUUAUUGUUCUGAGAUGUGCAAGAGUAUGUCUAGAAUAGCUGCAGAAGAGGGAGUUGUGUAUGCAGAAAGAAUGUUUGCUCUUUCCUUUAGGCUCUGAUUAGGUCAAUUCUUGGGACAUGUUUGGCUUGCAAACCCACAAUUACUGUUACACAGUUUUUCUGGAGAAGGGGAUUUCUUUGCAUGCUGUUUUGGUCAUCUUGUUGCCAAACCAGUGUGUAUAUGUGUGUACUGGAAAAAGCAAAUUGUAAAAGGAAUGUACUUAAACUCUAUAUCACUGUUUUUUCCAUAGCUGAAAGAAUCAAUCUACUGGUAUAGGUGUGUGUGCACAGAAAUGAAGAUAUUGACAUGAGAAAAUAACAGUGGAAUCAGAAGAAACAAGAAAUGGUAUACUGACAAAAGUAAUGUUUUUGUUAUUGUUAGAUGUUUUAAUCUUUGUGCUUCAGGCCUCAUUUCAUAUUUCGUACUGCAAAAUGAAAAACAAACAUAUGAAAGAAGAGAAUUGUGUUCUUUUCCUUUUGAACUGCUAUUUAAAUGAGUUCCUAUUACUGUUUGUAAGAACUACAUUUUAGGGAAUGUAUUAAAUCCCAACAAGUAAACAAAUACAUCUUAAAUCUAAUCAUUACAAGAUUAUUCCUGAUAUUUAUAAUACCCUGGCCUUUAAGUUUUCUUUUAGAACAGCUGCAGGGCUUUUGGACAAGAUGAGUAGCUCUUAAUCGAACGGCUGAAAAACUCCCAAGAAGUGAUUUGUCAUCUUAGGCAAGGCAUUUUUUAAAUAACCCAAUGGCACAUGAAACUAGGCUUAAAUGCCAUUAUGAUAAAAACCACUUAAGCUGCUGAUAAUCAUCCUAUGUGAAUUGGCACUCUAUAUGCUUACAGACAAAUCUGGACAUGCUUCAAUUACCUUUUCAGCAUAGCUCUGAAUACUAUUAAUACUAUGAAAAAUGUUAUAUAUGUAAAUUACAAAAAUACCACUGUAAGUAAAAAGUGUAUGUUCAUCAUUGUAAUUAGUGGCUUGUGCCAAGAAAGCAUCUUGUGAAAGCAGAUAAUUGACUUUUUUAAAUUAGAGGUGAAAGAAACCUGCAAGAUCAUUUUAUUAACCGUGACAAACUUGGCAUGCUGCUAUUACAUUUUAUCUAGAAAGAAAUGCUAAUUCACUGAUUCAUAACAGAUACCUCGUUUCAGUGUUCUUUUCUAUUUAGUAAUGCUGAUGAGUUCUUUGAGUUGAUCACCUGUAAAUUGCUCUUGUGAAGUAGUCUUACCCCUAAUUAUUAUUAUAGGGCUACCUAUAUUACCUUUUUUUAUCAAGAUGCUGGUCUAUGGGCUGAUGAAAAAGGAAGUUCUUACACAUUUAGGUUCCAGAAGUCUGGAUAAUACUAGUUUUGCUUCCAGGCUCUUAAUGUAAUGCUGAAUAUGUCUGAAUUUUAUUGAAAUUCUCCGUUCUGAAGUGUAACAAAUACAUCUUCACUGACUUUCACUGAAGAAUCAACGAGACUAAUUCAGGUGCAGAGAAUUUCCACAGAGGCCUUCAAAGAUCUCUCCCCAUUGGCUAUAUGGAGUCUUCACUGAAUAAAAGCUGGUAAAAGCUGCAUUUUCAUCUUCAAGAGACAUCUACUGUUGAAAUCCUUCUAAGCCUAGCCAAGUUUAUUUUCUGCCUUAUCACACUUGAAUAUUUUUUACCAAAGGAAAAACAAAAGAAGGCACUUAACAUGCUUGUGACCUAAAUAUUUUACUAUAGGAAGCUUGCAUUCACUUUACACCUGGGCAGCCAGGCUUUGUUCUUUGUGGCACUGUAUGUCCAAACCACCUCUCCAAUGGAAGCAGAGUUUAUUAUUCUUCAGUAUUUUUAAAGUCUUUU